UAAAAAGAUUAGAUAAAUUCUUUAAAAUUUUACAAAAAUUAUUGGUUAUAUGAUCCAUUAUUAAUGAUUAUAAGAUUAAGUUACCUUAGGGAUAACAGCGUAAUUUUUUUAGAGAGUUCUUAUCAAUAAAAAAGUUUGCGACCUCGAUGUUGGAUUAAAAGUAAUUUUGGGUGUAGAAGUUCAAAAUUUUGGUCUGUUCGACCAUUAAAUUUUUACAUGAUCUGAGUUUAGACCGGCGUAAGCCAGGUCGGUUUCUAUCUUUAUUAAUUUAAUAUAUUUUAGUACGAAAGGACCAAAUAUAUAAUAUAUUUAUAUUNAUUUUUUGAAUAU
This 330-nucleotide ribosomal RNA is filed under the name Hydroporus feryi. RNAcentral's name for it is "partial 16S ribosomal RNA". The stretch from base 91 to 249 matches the Rfam family "Bacterial large subunit ribosomal RNA", at positions 2473 to 2632 of the family's 2925-position model. The record is from RNAcentral. Lineage: Eukaryota; Metazoa; Arthropoda; Insecta; Coleoptera; Dytiscidae.